RNAcentral lists this ribosomal RNA (518 nucleotides) under uncultured bacterium. RNAcentral describes it as "bacterial SSU rRNA". It matches the Rfam family "Bacterial small subunit ribosomal RNA", at positions 8 to 518 of the family's 1533-position model. The record is from RNAcentral.
AGAGUUUGAUUCUGGCUCAGGAUGAACGCUGGCGGCGUGCCUAACACAUGCAAGUCGAACGGAGCAGUUAAUUGAGAACUUCGGUUGGAUAUUGAAUUCGCUUAGUGGCGGACGGGUGAGUAACGCGUGAGCAAUCUGCCUUUCAGAGGGGGAUAACAGUCGGAAACGACUGCUAAUACCGCAUGAAAUCAUAGUACGGCAUCGUACAAUGAUCAAAGGAGCAAUCCGCUGAAAGAUGAGCUCGCGUCCCAUUAGCUAGUUGGUGAGGUAACGGCCCACCAAGGCAACGAUGGGUAGCCGGACUGAGAGGUUGAACGGCCUCAUUGGGACUGAGACACGGCCCAGACUCCUACGGGAGGCAGCAGUGGGGAAUAUUGCGCAAUGGGGGGAAAAACCCCCUGACGCAGCAACGCCGCGUGAAGGAUGAAGGUUUUCGGAUUGUAAACUUCUUUAAUUAGGGACGAAAUUUUGACGGUACCUAAAGAAUAAGCUCCGGCUAACUACGUGCCAGCAGCAGC